GGUAUUGCGUCAGUGUUUCAUAGCUUUUCAUUAUUUGGGACAAGAGUAUUAUUGUACUGAUAAGGUCUUCCCAUUGAUAAGAACACAAUCUGGUACUAUUCCAAGGCUUUUCCACCAUCAAAUGUUGAUCUUAGAGCCUAUAUUUAUCAAACAAACAUACAAAAUAGCAAUUAAAUAUCAAUAAAAACAUUCCAUCUCUCUACCUCACUCGUUUUUCUCACUAACCACAGAACCUUCUCAUUCAUUAUUCUGACAAAUCGUAUACCCAUCACAAAUUCUUCUCAAUUGAACUCGUUUUUCACCUCACUUUUCACUCGUUCUCACUUCCUCACUCACCAUCUUAAUCCAUCUUUCCAUCAAACUCACGACUGUUGAAGAAGUGAUUGUUACUGCGAGUUUGAUGUAUAAGCACAUCCUUCCCACAAACACCCUCAGCCUCAAUUACUUGCUACUGUUAAGUCUGUAGCACAUAUGAAUCAGCAUGUGGUUCAUAUGAUUAUUGUGAUAGAGCUACCCAUGGAUUUGCUCAAGAAGCCUACUGCUGAUAGUUUUGAAGUACUUGUUGGUUUUGUCACGUAGAGGACUCCAUGCUGAGUAUUUAUUCCCUUUAACUAUAUAGUUAUCAUGUGUUUAGUGCUUUGUAGAUAUGAACAUGCCUUUUUCUACGGUCUUCAUUUUGAGUAUUUAUUAUACUUAUGAAUCCUAGCUUUUAUUUUUCUUCAGUGUUCAUGAAAACAUGGUAAAUAUAGGUGAAUGGGGUAAAUAAGACAAAGGUAUUGAACUAUAAAAUUACUAGAAGAUAUGAGGUGUCUUGAACUAUAUAUAGAUUUUACUUAGUCUAUGGAAAAUUAAUGCAUGUACAAUGUAUGUGGCACAACUCUAAGGGUAGACCAAGAAUUUUGGUAAGCUUGUUUAUCACACUACUAAGAAGAGAGCUAGUCGACCUCAAGGUAUAUUACCCAUUUGGUUUUGAUUUUAUGUUGUUGAAAUGAAGGGUAUCUUAGAGUGUUCAAAUUUGGUUGGUUGCUUGGAGGAGUUAUCUACUUAUACUUUUAAUAUUUGAGAAGAAUGUUUUUGAUUUUUUGUAUUCUAUGAGUAGAAUAUGGAUACUUGGCUUUUAAAACAACUUUGCCACUAAAAGUCAUUGACUCAUGUAGAGAAGUUAAAUGAGCGUUAAUGGAAAUGUUUGCUAGAAAAAAAGCUAAUUUUAGCUUA
This is a long non-coding RNA of Medicago truncatula (barrel medic), 1215 nucleotides long. RefSeq lists it as uncharacterized. The transcript has 2 exons. Lineage: Eukaryota; Viridiplantae; Streptophyta; Magnoliopsida; Fabales; Fabaceae. The record is from RefSeq and is a predicted model, not a curated record.